UACGUAGGGGGCUAGCGUUGUUCGGAAUUACUGGGCGUAAAGGGCUCGUAGGCGGCCAACUAAGUCGGACGUGAAAUCCCUCGGCUUAACCGGGGAACUGCGUCCGAUACUGGAUGGCUUGAGUUCGGGAGAGGGAUGCGGAAUUCCUGGUGGAGCGGUGAAAUGCGCAGAGAUCAGGAGGAACACCCGUAGCGAAGGCGGCACUCUGGGCCGAUACUGACACUGAGGAGCGAAAGCGUGGGGAGCGAACAGG
Molecule: ribosomal RNA, 253 nt
Filed under: uncultured bacterium
Lineage: Bacteria
Description: partial 16S ribosomal RNA
Rfam family: Bacterial small subunit ribosomal RNA
Source: RNAcentral